GCCCGCCUAGCUCAAUCGGAUAGAGCGUCAGACUUUUACAGAUGGUCUGGUUGACGGGCUGUAGUAAUUAAUCUGAAGGCUGCGAGUUCGACCCUCGCGGUGGGCU
Molecule: non-coding RNA, 106 nt
Organism: Moniliophthora roreri
Lineage: Eukaryota; Fungi; Basidiomycota; Agaricomycetes; Agaricales; Marasmiaceae
Source: Rfam